RNAcentral lists this non-coding RNA (29 nucleotides) under Rattus norvegicus (Norway rat). Lineage: Eukaryota; Metazoa; Chordata; Mammalia; Rodentia; Muridae. The record is from RNAcentral.
UUCCCCUGUGAGUCGGUGGUAAGCUAGGU